Molecule: ribosomal RNA, 510 nt
Filed under: uncultured bacterium
Lineage: Bacteria
Description: partial 16S ribosomal RNA
Rfam family: Bacterial small subunit ribosomal RNA
Source: RNAcentral
GACGAACGCUGGCGGCGUGCUUAACACAUGCAAGUCGAACGAAGAGCGAUGGAAGCUUGCUUCUAUCAAUCUUAGUGGCGAACGGGUGAGUAACGCGUAAUCAACCUGCCCUUCAGAGGGGGACAACAGUUGGAAACGACUGCUAAUACCGCAUACGAUCUAAUCUCGGCAUCGAGGAUAGAUGAAAGGUGGCCUCUACAUGUAAGCUAUCACUGAAGGAGGGGAUUGCGUCUGAUUAGCUAGUUGGAGGGGUAACGGCCCACCAAGGCGAUGAUCAGUAGCCGGUCUGAGAGGAUGAACGGCCACAUUAGGACUGAGACACGGCCCAGACUCCUACGGGAGGCAGCAGUGGGGAAUCUUCCGCAAUGGACGAAAGUCUGACGGAGCAACGCCGCGUGAGCGAUGACGGCCUUCGGGUUGUAAAGCUCUGUUAAUCGGGACGAAAGGCCUUCUUGCGAAUAGUGAGAAGGAUUGACGGUACCGGAAUAGAAAGCCACGGCUAACUACGUG